Non-coding RNA from Cinara cedri, 464 nucleotides. The record is from the annotation of a GenBank genome assembly. NCBI's taxonomy places the organism in Eukaryota, Metazoa, Arthropoda, Insecta, Hemiptera, Aphididae.
AAAUGGAUCACCCGGUAUUAUGGAAAUAUUCUUCAUUUUUUUCUUCUUCUAUAGCUUAAUAGUCCUAUUGUAGGACCUGAGCUGCAAUCAAACAUUUCCAUCGCACCCUGUCAAAUGCAAGUUCCACUGAAGCAUUUUUAUCCACCGUCCUUUUCUACUGCAUCUUUCCAUCUCGUUUGUGGCCUACUUAGUGGUCUAGUCUUAUAAAUGGUUUCGUUAAGGACUAUUUUUAUUAAAUCGUUUUCGCCCCUUCACACGUAUCCAAAACAAUAUAAUCGCCUUAGAUACAUCAUAUUUGGUUUGUUUUCCAUACAGAUUCUAUAAGUCUUAAUUUUAGAUUCUGAGUGGAGUGAAGAAGGUUAUGGUUUUACAAUGAUGUUUAUUUAUUUACUUACUUUAAACGGGAACAAUUUUUCUAGCAGAAAUCCGGAUACUUUAGGAAAGUCGUUUAUUUGAUUUUCUUA